Molecule: ribosomal RNA, 933 nt
Filed under: Opecoeloides fimbriatus
Lineage: Eukaryota; Metazoa; Platyhelminthes; Trematoda; Plagiorchiida; Opecoelidae
Description: partial large subunit ribosomal RNA
Rfam family: Eukaryotic large subunit ribosomal RNA
Source: RNAcentral
GGCAAUGUGGUGUUCAGGUCAAUCCGCGGAGGCACUGCUCCACCCUAAGUCCAAAUAUGAGUACGGUUGUACGGACAUGGCCCAUUGAGGGUGAAAGGCCCGUGGGGGUGGAGAUCAGGUUGGCCAGUGUCACUCUGGGGAGACCUUGGAGUCGGGUUGUUUGUGAAUGCAGCCCAAAGUGGGUGGUAAACUCCAUCCAAGGCUAAAUACAAGCACGAGUCCGAUAGCGAACAAGUACCGUGAGGGAAAGUUGAAAAGUACUCUGAAGAGAGAGUAAACAGUGCGUGAAGCCGUUCAGAGGUAAACGGGUGGAGUUGAACUGUGAGUUCCGAGGGUUCAGCUGGUAACUAUGGUUGAGCAUGGUUAAAUUGGUUGGACUCUGAGGUCUGCGUAGCUGCAGGUUCUCACCGCUGGUGGGGAUGUGCGAUACACUUUUUAGUGUUGUGCGCCUCAGAUGUUCCGAGCCUGGUUGCCAGUGCACUCCUUCGGGACGGUCACCACGACCGGCACUGCCGUUGGUCUGUUGUUGACAAAUCGGGCGCGUUAGGUUGUUGUGAUCUUUCGCGUCCGGGAUGGCAGGUAGCUCGUUGGCUUGCUUGCAGGCUUUCGGGUGAAAUAACUGUCUUCAAUUUGACUAUGCGGUGUGCCGGAGACGGCGGCUUGAGGUGUGUGCGUGCGUGCUGUUUUCUGACGUGUCCGUGUCAGGUUGCUCAGUUGCUCACAUAGUGGGCCAAGCGGCGACUGGGAUAUGUUUGGGAGGCAGUUGCGUGCGUGACAUCGUACUUGGGCCAAUAGUCUGUGGUGUUGCGGUAGACGAUCCACCUGACCCGUCUUGAAACACGGACCAAGGAGAUUAACAUGUGCGCGAGUCAUUGGGCGUAACGAAACCCACAGGCGCAGUGAAAGUAAAGGCUUGGCUUGUCCAGGCUUAGG